GAUUUGACUGUCUGCAGGAGGUGAUUCCAGGGGCUGACAAGAAAAGUGGAACUCAGAGAUGAAAGUGAAUGAUAUGAAGGGAGAAGUAUCUGUGCUGCGGGGUUUUUUUCCCCCACAAGUAAAGCAGCACACAAUCCCUGCCCAAGCCUGCAGUGACUCUGUGAAGUGUCCAGUAGUUCUGUGACCAUUAGCUGGGAGUGGGCAAUUAUGGUCUGGAGAGCAGCUAUUCUGUCAAGAGGAACUACGCUUAGACUAGAAUAGCAAGACAAAACUGAGAAGCCUGGGCCAAAAUGUGAUGGGGAAGAAUGCGCACCAACUGCUCCUUAGCAUGGUUCAAGCACUGCAGAGCCAAUACAGCUGUGGGAAAGUGAGAUGGAUUCUAUUCUGACUCUCCCAUCAUUUUCAGAAUCAUUAAUCAAGUUCCACAUGUGAGACGAAAGGUUUUCCUGAAUGGGAUUGCACAGGUGUACGGUCCUCAUAUGCAGAAGCACUCAAUACCCUCACCUCCUAUUGACGUGUAAUAUGAAGUUCAAUAUCUUGAAGGA
Long non-coding RNA from Mauremys reevesii (Reeves's turtle), 545 nucleotides. RefSeq lists it as uncharacterized. Lineage: Eukaryota; Metazoa; Chordata; Testudines; Geoemydidae. The record is from RefSeq and is a predicted model, not a curated record. The transcript is spliced from 4 exons.